UUCCAGACUCCUACGGGAGGCAGCAGUGAGGAAUAUUGGUCAAUGGGCUUACGCCUGAACCAGCCAAGUCGCGUGAGGGAAGACUGCCCUAUGGGUUGUAAACCUCUUUUGUCAGGGAGCAAUUGGCGCUACGUGUAGCGUUAUCGAGAGUACCUGAAGAAAAAGCAUCGGCUAACUCCGUGCCAGCAGCCGCGGUAAUACGGAGGAUGCGAGCGUUAUCCGGAUUUAUUGGGUUUAAAGGGUGCGUAGGCGGAAUGCCAAGUCAGCGGUAAAAUCGCGGGGCUCAACCCCGUCCGGCCGUUGAAACUGGGGGCCUUGAGUGGGCGAGAAGAAGGCGGAAUGCGUGGUGUAGCGGUGAAAUGCAUAGAUAUCACGCAGAACCCCGAUUGCGAAGGCAGCCUUCCGGCGCCCUACUGACGCUGGGGCACGAAAGUGCGGGGAUCGAACAGGAUUAGAUACCCUUGUCC
Molecule: ribosomal RNA, 467 nt
Filed under: uncultured bacterium
Lineage: Bacteria
Description: bacterial SSU rRNA
Rfam family: Bacterial small subunit ribosomal RNA
Source: RNAcentral